RNAcentral lists this ribosomal RNA (496 nucleotides) under uncultured bacterium. RNAcentral's name for it is "partial 16S ribosomal RNA". It matches the Rfam family "Bacterial small subunit ribosomal RNA", at positions 29 to 507 of the family's 1533-position model. The record is from RNAcentral.
AUGAACGCUGGCGGCGUGCCUAAUACAUGCAAGUCGAGCGAACAGACGAGGAGCUUGCUCCUCUGACGUUAGCGGCGGACGGGUGAGUAACACGUGGAUAACCUACCUAUAAGACUGGGAUAACUUCGGGAAACCGGAGCUAAUACCGGAUAAUAUAUUGAACCGCAUGGUUCAAUAGUGAAAGACGGUUUUGCUGUCACUUAUAGAUGGAUCCGCGCCGCAUUAGCUAGUUGGUAAGGUAACGGCUUACCAAGGCAACGAUGCGUAGCCGACCUGAGAGGGUGAUCGGCCACACUGGAACUGAGACACGGUCCAGACUCCUACGGGAGGCAGCAGUAGGGAAUCUUCCGCAAUGGGCGAAAGCUUGACGGAGCAACGCCGCGUGAGUGAUGAAGGUCUUCGGAUCGUAAAACUCUGUUAUUAGGGAAGAACAAUUGUGUAAGUAACUAUGCACGUCUUGACGGUACCUAAUCAGAAAGCCACGGCUAACUACGUG